This 207-nucleotide ribosomal RNA is filed under the name uncultured bacterium. RNAcentral describes it as "partial 16S ribosomal RNA". It matches the Rfam family "Bacterial small subunit ribosomal RNA", at positions 568 to 774 of the family's 1533-position model. The record is from RNAcentral.
UGCGUAGGCGGAGCGUUAAGUCAGUGGUGAAAUCCUGCAGCUCAACUGUAGAAUUGCCAUUGAUACUGGCACUCUUGAGUGCGCUUGAAGUAGGCGGAAUGUGCCGUGUAGCGGUGAAAUGCUUAGAUAUGGCACAGGACACCAAUUGCGAAGGCAGCUUACUAAGGCGAUACUGACGCUGAGGCACGAAAGCGUGGGGAUCGAACA